UGAGCCGAAGUCAGACGUUUAACCGACGGAGCCACCCAGGUGCCCCUAAAUAUCAUUCUCAGAUAUGACUUCUACUUAAAGCCUCGGUGAUAUAACCAGUGUUUCCAACUGUGUCCCAUCCUGUGCAAGAGGAACAGAGUCGUCAUGAACCUGCGCAAAUCAGUAUAUUGCCCUGAAAAUUACUCACCGAGUUUCCAAAUUCCAGACAGAUCAGUAAUGGAGAAAAAAGAUAAAUAUUUCAUCUUUGUUCACAAAGGGACAGAACAGAUCAUUUGGAGUGUUCCAGAAGCCCUCUGGAAAUAUCCCAGUCAGACUAUUGAAGAGUCCCUGUCAGCAACUUGCAGAGCAGAUGCUGAGACUCCAGGCCCACAUCCCGACGGCAUCGCCCAUGCAUAGAAUCUCCUUGAUGGCAAGGAUAUUGGCCUAAGAUGACAUCUGCCUGUGAAGAUUUCCUGAAUAGAGAGGACUUCACCCAGUUCAUGAGCUUCUGCACCAGCAGCAUCCAGGGCUGACCCUCCUUAAUGCCGAAAGUGGACCAAGGGCGAUUUUGCUGAUCUUGUGAUAUUGGGAAUUCUGUUUUGUUCCUGAGCUGCUUGCAGUCUGCUCAGCCCGUUAUCCCGGUAUCCUUGCUUUCUGCCAACACAUACCCCCACACUGCCAUGCUCGUAGGGGAAUCUGACAGAGACCGGUUUGUGUCAUUCCAAAAAUAACUUUCUUCAGGAGAUACCUCACUCCUAUUAGUCCACCUCUAAACCCCCUGGGAAGAAGCCCACUCUCCAGCACCUUCUACCGUAGCACUCCAUCUUUCCACCACACCUCCUGCCCUGCAU
This is a long non-coding RNA of Suricata suricatta (meerkat), 830 nucleotides long. RefSeq lists it as uncharacterized. The record is from RefSeq and is a predicted model, not a curated record. The transcript is spliced from 4 exons. NCBI's taxonomy places the organism in Eukaryota, Metazoa, Chordata, Mammalia, Carnivora, Herpestidae.